Molecule: ribosomal RNA, 408 nt
Filed under: uncultured bacterium
Lineage: Bacteria
Description: bacterial SSU rRNA
Rfam family: Bacterial small subunit ribosomal RNA
Source: RNAcentral
GGGGACAACACUGCGAAAGUGGUGCUAAUACCGAAAUGUGUAACCGAGAUUGCAUAAUCUUGGUUAGAAAAGGUGGCCUCAUUUAUAAGGCUACCGCUGGAAGAUGGGUCUGCGUCUGAUUAGCUAGUUGGUGAGGUAACGGCUCACCAAGGCGACGAUCAGUAGCCGGUCUGAGAGGAUGAACGGCCACACUGGGACUGGGACACGGCCCAGACUCCUACGGGAGGCAGCAGUGGGGAAUCUUCCGCAAUGGACGAAAGUCUGACGGAGCAACGCCGCGUGAGUGAAGAAGGUUUUUUCCGGAUCGUAAAGCUCUGUCUUUUGGGACGAAUGUGCUUCUUGUGAAUAAUGAGAGGUAAUGACGGUACCGAAGAAGGAAGCCACGGCUAACUACGUGCCAGCAGCUGC